GUGUCAGCAGCCGCGGUAAUACAGAGGGGGCCAGCGUUAUUCGGAAUUAUUGGGCGUAAAGGGCGCGUAGGCGGCCAUGCGUGUCUCCCGUGAAAUCCCUCGGCUUAACUGAGGACGUGCGGGGGAAACUGCAAGGCUCGAGUCCGGGAGAGGGGGGUGGAAUUCCCAGUGUAGCGGUGAAAUGCGUAUAUAUUGGGAGGAACACCGGUGGCGAAGGCGGCCCCCUGGACCGGAACUGACGCUGAGGCGCGAAAGCGUGGGGAGCAAACGGGAUUAGAUACCCCCGUAGUCC
This 292-nucleotide ribosomal RNA is filed under the name uncultured bacterium. Its description in RNAcentral is "partial 16S ribosomal RNA". It matches the Rfam family "Bacterial small subunit ribosomal RNA", at positions 505 to 796 of the family's 1533-position model. The record is from RNAcentral.